AAUUUGGGACAAUGGGGGAAACCCUGAUCCAGCCAUCCCGCGUGUAUGAUGAAGGCCNNNGGGUUNUAAAGUACUUUGGGCAGNGAANAAAAGGUAUCUCCUAAUACGAGAUACUGCUGACGGUAUGUGCAGAAUAAGCACCGGCUAACUACGUGCCAGCAGCCGCGGUAAUACGUAGGGUGCAAGCGUUAAUCGGAAUUACUGGGCGUAAAGCGUGUGUAGGCGGUUCGGAAAGAAAGAUGUGCAUUCCCAGGGCUCAACCUUGGAACUGCAUUUUUAACUGCCGUGCUAGAGUAUGUCAGAGGGGGGUAGAAUUCCACGUGUAGCAGUGAAAUGCGUAGAUAUGUGGAGGAAUACCGAUGGCGAAGGCAGCCCCCUGGGAUAAUACUGACGCUCAGACACGAAAGCGUGGGGAGCAAACA
RNAcentral lists this ribosomal RNA (422 nucleotides) under uncultured bacterium. RNAcentral describes it as "partial 16S ribosomal RNA". It matches the Rfam family "Bacterial small subunit ribosomal RNA", at positions 360 to 774 of the family's 1533-position model. The record is from RNAcentral.